GCAGAGAAUCAAGCAUUAUAUCUAAAGUACUCCCAUAAAUGUUGAAAGCAAUAUUAUUAAUACCAUAACUCCGAAAGAAUACCUAAGGGACAUUUAUGAUCCUGUUUCAAACUCCAAAACCGAAGAGUUAUGUGAUUCGGUAAGAAAACAAAGUCCAAAACUUUUCCAGGAGGAAAUUUUCUCCGUUUCGGAAUAUUUGAAAAAAUACAAAAAA
This 214-nucleotide long non-coding RNA is filed under the name Hordeum vulgare. RNAcentral describes it as "long non-coding RNA (HVUL_LNC012229)". The record is from RNAcentral. Lineage: Eukaryota; Viridiplantae; Streptophyta; Magnoliopsida; Poales; Poaceae.